RNAcentral lists this ribosomal RNA (403 nucleotides) under uncultured bacterium. RNAcentral's name for it is "bacterial SSU rRNA". It matches the Rfam family "Bacterial small subunit ribosomal RNA", at positions 330 to 749 of the family's 1533-position model. The record is from RNAcentral.
GCCAGACUCCUACGGGAGGCAGCAGUGGGGAAUAUUGCACAAUGGGGGAAACCCUGAUGCAGCAACGCCGCGUGAGUGAAGAAGUAUUUCGGUAUGUAAAGCUCUAUCAGCAGGGAAGAAGAAGGACGGUACCUGACUAAGAAGCCCCGGCUAACUACGUGCCAGCAGCCGCGGUAAUACGUAGGGGGCGAGCGUUAUCCGGAUUUACUGGGUGUAAAGGGAGCGUAGACGGUUUUUCAAGUCUGAAGUGAAAGCGCGGGGCUCAACUGCAGAGCGGCUUUGGAAACUGAGGGAGUAGAGUGCUGGAGGAGGAGGCAGAAUUCGUGGUGUAGCGGCGAAAUGCGAAGAUAUCAGGAGGAACGCCGGUGGCGGAGGCGGCCUGCUGGACAGUAACUGACGUUGA